UGUGGCCACCAGGCACCCUAUGCUGGCAUCUAGGACCAUACCACCCCGAUCCUAGAAGCUAAACAGAGCCACACUGGUCAGUACUUGGAUGGGAGACCACCUGGGAAUUUUGGCUUUCCACCC
This is a ribosomal RNA of Chlorocebus sabaeus (green monkey), 123 nucleotides long. Lineage: Eukaryota; Metazoa; Chordata; Mammalia; Primates; Cercopithecidae. The record is from Ensembl.